RNAcentral lists this long non-coding RNA (2598 nucleotides) under Olea europaea subsp. europaea. The record is from RNAcentral. Lineage: Eukaryota; Viridiplantae; Streptophyta; Magnoliopsida; Lamiales; Oleaceae.
CUCAACUUCCAAAUUUUGAAAAAAAAAAAAAAAUGAGAAAGAAAAGUGGAAAAAUAUAAACAAAAAAUGCAACUCAAUCUAUCAUUCAAAUACUCACUAACCCUUAAACUCACGCCCCUCUUUCUCAUUCAAAUCGUCAACAUCUCACAACCAUCGACGAUCACCAUUAAUCAAUCCACGCUGUGGAAGACCACUAUUAAUCUCUUCAAGUUUUCCCUUUUUUCUCUCUCGCAUUUUUGCCUUCUUAUCUUCCGAUUCUUCACAUCUGGGGGUGUUUUGCUUUUAUAUUCUCCGCAUUUUUUUACUAUCGAUUGGUACCGCAUGCCUUAUUUUUUCGAUUUUUAUUGUCUAUUUUUUUGGUUCUAGGAAAAUAUUAACUUUAGGGUUUAUGUGACUUAUCUAUGAAUUUAUUCCUUAUAACUAUGUUUUUCACUCUUCUUUCAUGUAAAUAAUGUUCAGAGGAUCGAUUAUUGAAUUGGUGAUUUGAAUUUGGAGUUGUGGUUAUCAUCCGGCGACAUUGAUAAUCAUUAUAUUUCAAACGUUUCAUUUGGAUCGAACAGGUAAGAAUCAUGAUUUCUUCAUUUUUUUUUUCAUUUGACCAAUUUACAUUUAAAAUAAAAUUUAAAUUAUCCUUCAUUGUGUUUGACUAAUACUAGGUUUUUAUUGCGUUCAACUAGAUUUUAAUGUUUGGAUGGUUUUUGAUUAUUACUAGGCAAACUGAGUUUUGGCUUAACUUUUGAAUUUGUAAAAUGAGCCAAGAUUGAACUAGGGCAUGUUCUAGUCAACAACGCUCAAAUAAGCUUGGCUAUUUUACAUGUUGUAGCUUGCAUGUUUAUCUUUAUAUGAUUAUGAGGGGUUAUUUGAAUGUUGUUUAAGUCUUGGUUCAUUGUAUUUUCAUCCUUGAAAAUGCCUUUACAGUUACAUUUACAACUUAUGACCAAGUGCAUGAAAAGUGAUGCUAUUUGAAGCUAUGAGUAUAACACUCAUCAUGUUUGUCAUAACCCGAUCUUUCAUAUCUUGGAAAACCAAUAUAAAUGUGCAAUGUAAAUGUCAAUCCCGACAGUAAUAGAAUUAUCUGUCGAGAUAAACUGUCGUUCUCAAUAAUUAGGUUUGAAUUUUCCAACAAUUGAUUCACUUAUCUUGACGGUUGGUUUCGUAAGUCAAAUUUUGUUAAGCUUAUCUUCUACGUGUGGUUUUAAGGGUUAAGAUGUAUGACAUAUCAUCAUCUGACACCAUUAUUACUUCAAGAUAUGCAAACGUUACAAUUCUUGAACCAUCUGUAAAGAUAAACUUUCAUUCUUAACAGUUGAGUCACUUUUCUCGACAGUAAGUUCUAGAAGCCUAAUUUUGUUCAGCAGCUCCUAUGCAUGUACUAUGAAUAAAAUGUAUGACAUAUCAUCAUUUGACCCGUUUCUUUCUUUACAUGUGCUUCUUUCUUCAUGUACCUGUACUAUGAAUGAAAUGUACGAUAUAUCAUCAUCUGAUAUUUUUGCUUUCUUCCAGAUCCUUGCUUUAGCAUAUGAAUUUUAAAUUGUUAGUUCCUAAAGUAGCACACUUCCAUGCUUACAUUUCCUAGCAGAACAAUGUCAAGUACAUCAAAAGCAAUGACAGUCAACGAAUUGAUUUUAGGAACUCAUGCCUUGGGUUCCUUGCCAAUUUACCUGAAAUUCAAUUCUUGGCAUAACUAAUUCAACAACUUGUGUUCAGAAUGAUAAAAAACUAAAAAGACAAAGGAGUUAUGCUUUAACGUAUAGUGCCACCAUAUACAGUUUUGGGCUACAAGAGUAUGCGGUCGUUAUGGGACUAAGAUGCUAUCCCAUGCAAAAAGGCGACGACUUAGACAAAGCUAUGAAAAGAAUGAGACUCAAGGAUAAAUACUUCCUUGCGAAUGAGUUUCAUGUGCCCAACUAGAAAAUGCUUUCUUAAACCCGUUGUUGAUUGCUCUGAAUAAUAAUGUCGGUGUUGAUCUCGGUAUAUUGCCGGUCGUUGACAACAUGGGCAUUUUUUAAUAUCCUUGGGGCAAAGUGGGUUUAACCGCCUGAUGAGGGGAUUUAGGAGUGGUUGGUCGAGAAAGUUUCGUGAUGCUAAGUUGAAGAAUGAGAAUGAGAUUACUUAUAUAAUUCAAGAAUUUUCCAUUGCUGUACAUGUAUUCUCAUUUUUUCUUGAAGAUGUGUUUAUUAUUUUAAUACAAAUAUAAUCUGCCUUGGACUAAAACGGUACUAACAUCAUUUUGUUUUCAUCUGACAGAUUUGGGCAUUUGAGGCGGUCCCCAAACUUGGUGAAAGGGGAGAGACUUGGUAUUCACUUUCCAAGGAUUAUUAGUUGGACGGUUACAAAACAACCGUAGUAACGUAUAUAUGAAAUGUGCCAACCUGAAACGUUCUAUCUCGAACUACCAAGGGGUCUAUCGACUAAUGGGAAAAAUAAGGCAAUUGUUAUGCUUUACUACCUUAAUUUUAAAAAAGCAAUUGCCACACCGUCUGGAGUCCUUGUCCUUAUAUGUUGAAACCUGGUUGUUUCGUAUAAAGAUGCCAACUUGGAAGAUGCUAGCACAAUCUACUAAGAGGCCCCAUCAGCUAGUGGGAUAAAGGAUGCAAU